GGCCCGUUCGUCUAUCGGUUAGGACCUCAGGCUUUCAUCCUGGAAAGAGGGGUUCGACUCCCCUGCGGGCUACAA
This 75-nucleotide transfer RNA is filed under the name Flavobacteriaceae bacterium. RNAcentral's name for it is "tRNA-Glu". It matches the Rfam family "tRNA". Rfam says of the family: Transfer RNA (tRNA) molecules are approximately 80 nucleotides in length. Their secondary structure includes four short double-helical elements and three loops (D, anti-codon, and T loops). The record is from RNAcentral. Lineage: Bacteria; Pseudomonadati; Bacteroidota; Flavobacteriia; Flavobacteriales; Flavobacteriaceae.